CCGGCGCGGGGACCAGGCCCCGGGCCACGGACAUCUCGAGUUCAGUGGACGGCGAUCCGGCCACGGUCUGGCGGGUCGACGCCCCCGCGCCGGC
RNAcentral lists this transfer RNA (94 nucleotides) under Streptomyces purpurascens. Its description in RNAcentral is "tRNA-Glu". Lineage: Bacteria; Bacillati; Actinomycetota; Actinomycetes; Kitasatosporales; Streptomycetaceae. The record is from RNAcentral.